GACGAACGCUGGCGGCGUGCUUAACACAUGCAAGUCGAGCGGUAAGGCCCUUUCGGGGGUACACGAGCGGCGAACGGGUGAGUAACACGUGGGUGACCUGCCCUCAGCUCUGGGAUAAGCCGUGGGAAACCGGGUCUAAUACUGGAUAUGACUCCAUGACGCAUAGUUGGUGGGGUGGAAAGCCUUGUGCGGCUGAGGAUGGGCCCGCGGCCUAUCAGCUUGUUGGUGGGGUGA
RNAcentral lists this ribosomal RNA (234 nucleotides) under uncultured bacterium. RNAcentral's name for it is "partial 16S ribosomal RNA". It matches the Rfam family "Bacterial small subunit ribosomal RNA", at positions 28 to 260 of the family's 1533-position model. The record is from RNAcentral.